Molecule: ribosomal RNA, 485 nt
Filed under: uncultured bacterium
Lineage: Bacteria
Description: partial 16S ribosomal RNA
Rfam family: Bacterial small subunit ribosomal RNA
Source: RNAcentral
GAUGAACGCUGGCGGCGUGCUUAACACAUGCAAGUCGAACGGUGAACACGGAGCUUGCUCUGUGGGAUCAGUGGCGAACAGGUGAGUAACACGUGAGCAACCUGCCCCUGACGCUGGGAUAAGCGCUGGAAACGGCGUCUAAUACUGGAUACGAGUAGCGGCCGCAUGGUCAGUUACUGGAAAGAUUUUUUGGUUGGGGAUGGGCUCGCGGCCUAUCAGCUUGUUGGUGAGGUAAUGGCUCACCAAGGCGUCGACGGGUAGCCGGCCUGAGAGGGUGACCGGCCACACUGGGACUGAGACACGGCCCAGACUACUACGGGAGGCAGCAGUGGGGAAUAUUGCACAAUGGGCGAAAGCCUGAUGCAGCAACGCCGCGUGAGGGAUGACGGCCUUCGGGUUGUAAACCUCUUUUAGCAGGGAAGAAGCGAAAGUGACGGUACCUGCAGAAAAAGCGCCGGCUAACUACGUGCCAGCAGCCGCGGUAA